AACCUUAAUUUCCUGUGUAGAGAGAGGAAAAUGGAUAAGCUUAUUUUUCGGUUAGGGCUCAUGAUCAGAUUUCUCGAUCCCAUUGUUUAGAUCACCCUCCUCACAGUAGAGAGGUGGAAAGGGAUAUUGUUGACUUGAUUUGCAGUUCUCCCCUGCUUGUACCUUUUGCCAUGAAAUUAUAUAUUUUUCAAUCAACAUGAAUUUAAUCGUGUUCUAUCGCGAGGAGAUAAACGUAUAUAUUGUUCAUAUUAUAAAUUAGCUUGCUCAUUACUAAAGUAAAGAUGCAGAUGCAGUUGUAUUCCUGAUCUUAUUUGUCACGUCCACAAUCUUUUUACUUUCGCACAUCUGAGAAAUUAAACCAAGGAGGAGAAAAUCAUAGAUAAAAUUAUAUUUUACCUUCUUUUUUUUGGGGAAUUACAGUUCACCUCUUUAAUGUUGUUUACUAGCUUAACAC
Long non-coding RNA from Neltuma alba, 454 nucleotides. RefSeq lists it as uncharacterized. Lineage: Eukaryota; Viridiplantae; Streptophyta; Magnoliopsida; Fabales; Fabaceae. The transcript has 2 exons. The record is from RefSeq and is a predicted model, not a curated record.